AAGGGCACCACAAGAACGCGUGGAGCAUGUGGCUUAAUUUGACUCAACGCGGGAAAUCUUACCGGGUCCGGACACACUGAGGAUUGACAGGUAUUAUUGUAUCUGCUUAUUAUGCAGAUACAUGUUAAAUAUGCUAGUCCUUUCAUGAUUAUGUGAUAGGUGGUGCAUGGCCGUUCUUAGUUCGUGGAGUGAUCUGUCUGCUUAAUUGCGUUUCACUAAGGGCCUAUAAAUUUACGUAUGUUGCGGCGCUUUGACCCCUCUUAACUGAGCGCGUGUCUUUGUUUGCUUAGCGCAUACAAUUAGGUCCUGAAAGCAACGAACGUGACCGCAACCUCUUGUUGCCUUUAUACCAAACACAUAGUUCUAUCCUUUUACAGGAUUAGGCUUUGUGCAAAAAGGCCUUUUAAACUAGAGGGACCGCUGUUACUUUCUUAAACCAGAGGAAGGUUGCGGCAAUAACAGGUCUGUGAUGCCCUUAGAUGUUCCGGGCUGCACACGUGCUACAAUGAUUAUUGCAGUGAGCAUCUCAUUUAUACACACCGCAUGCGCGAGUCUAUUUAUUCACCUUUUGUGUGCUUUAAAUAUGUAUCUCUGCGCGCGGUAAAGCCUGCUUCGAAAGUAAGUGGGUAAUCAAUUAGAAGUAAUGAUUUCCUUAUAUAGCACACAUAUAUACGGCAUCUUUACCCGGCUUACCUUGUUGUAAGUUUCUUGUGCGUAUUGAUGUUUUUUCCGUAUGUGCGAUUGUCAAUUCAUGGUGGGGACAGACCAUUGUUAAUUGUUGGUCUCGGUCUUAACUAGGAAUGCCUUGUACGGGUCUUUGGUUCAACAAACCACCCGGAAUACGUCCCUGCCCUUUGUACACACCGCCCGUCGCUCUUACCGAUGGACUUCUCUGUGAGUUUGAGGGACUGGGAACGCAUAUCUUUAUAUGCACACCUAUGGAAACUUAAACGAACAGUGUGGUCUAAAGGAAAGAGAAGUCGUAACAAGGCAUCGGUAGGUGAACCUGCAGAAGGAUCA
This 1020-nucleotide ribosomal RNA is filed under the name Operculinella cumingii. RNAcentral describes it as "SSU rRNA". It matches the Rfam family "Eukaryotic small subunit ribosomal RNA", at positions 1160 to 1828 of the family's 1831-position model. The record is from RNAcentral. Lineage: Eukaryota; Foraminifera; Rotaliida; Nummulitidae.